AUCCAGCUGACGAGUCCUAAAUAGGACGAAACGCGAGUCUAAAGUGGAU
Molecule: non-coding RNA, 49 nt
Filed under: Schistosoma margrebowiei
Lineage: Eukaryota; Metazoa; Platyhelminthes; Trematoda; Strigeidida; Schistosomatidae
Source: RNAcentral